UACGGGGGGAGCAAGCGUUGUUCGGAUUUACUGGGCGUAAAGGGCGCGUAGGCGGCCACUGCAAGUCAGUUGUGAAAUCUCCGGGCUUAACCUGGGAACUGCGUGUGAUACUGGAUGGCUUGAAUCCGGGAGAGGGAUGCGGAAUUCCAGGUGUAGCGGUGAAAUGCGUAGAUAUCUGGAGGAACACCGGUGGCGAAGGCGGCAUCCUGGAGCUUUGCUGACGCUGAGGCGCGAAAGCGUGGGGAGCGAUCCGG
This 254-nucleotide ribosomal RNA is filed under the name uncultured bacterium. RNAcentral describes it as "partial 16S ribosomal RNA". It matches the Rfam family "Bacterial small subunit ribosomal RNA", at positions 524 to 776 of the family's 1533-position model. The record is from RNAcentral.